Molecule: ribosomal RNA, 253 nt
Filed under: uncultured bacterium
Lineage: Bacteria
Description: partial 16S ribosomal RNA
Rfam family: Bacterial small subunit ribosomal RNA
Source: RNAcentral
UACGUAGGGGGCAAGCGUUGUCCGGAAUUAUUGGGCGUAAAGAGCGCGUAGGCGGUCCGAUAAGUCGGCUGUGAAAGUCCAGGGCUCAACCCUGGAAAGCCGGCCGAUACUGUCGGACUAGAGUCCGGAAGAGGCAAGUGGAAUUCCCGGUGUAGCGGUGAAAUGCGUAGAGAUCGGGAGGAACACCAACGGCGAAAGCAGGUUACUGGACCAAUACUGACGCUGAGAUGCGAAAGCUAGGGGAGCAAACAGG